AUACGUAGGGAGCGAGCGUUGUCCGGAAUUACUGGGUGUAAAGGGAGCGUAGGCGGGACUGCAAGUCAGAUGUGAAAUACCGGGGCUUAACCCCGGAGCUGCAUUUGAAACUGUGGUUCUUGAGUGAAGUAGAGGCAAGCGGAAUUCCUGGUGUAGCGGUGAAAUGCGUAGAUAUCAGGAGGAACACCGGUGGCGAAGGCGGCUUGCUGGGCUUUUACUGACGCUGAGGCUCGAAAGCGUGGGUAGCAAACAGGAUUAGAUACCCUGGUAGUCCACGCUGUAAACGAUGAUUACUAGGUGUGGGGGGACUGACCCCUUCCGUGCCGCAGUUAACACAAUAAGUAAUCCACCUGGGGAGUACGGCCGCAAGGUUGAAACUCAAAUGAAUUGGCGGGG
Molecule: ribosomal RNA, 396 nt
Filed under: uncultured bacterium
Lineage: Bacteria
Description: partial 16S ribosomal RNA
Rfam family: Bacterial small subunit ribosomal RNA
Source: RNAcentral